GUCUACGGCCAAGCCACCCUGAACAUGCCCAAUCUCAUCUGAUCUCGGAAGCUAAGCAGGGUUGGGCCUGGUCAGUACUAGGAAGACCAGGUGCUGUAGGCA
Molecule: ribosomal RNA, 102 nt
Filed under: Pteropus alecto (black flying fox)
Lineage: Eukaryota; Metazoa; Chordata; Mammalia; Chiroptera; Pteropodidae
Source: RNAcentral